CCGAGUUUCCAACUCCCAAACCCCUGUGAACAUACCUAUAUGUUGCCUCGGCGGAUCAGCCCGCGCCCCGUAAAACGGGACGGCCCGCCGCAGGAUCCACAAACUCUGUUUUUAUUGUAACUUCUGAGUAACAAAACAAAUAAAUCA
Molecule: unclassified non-coding RNA, 147 nt
Filed under: soil metagenome
Description: partial internal transcribed spacer 1
Source: RNAcentral